This is a long non-coding RNA of Oncorhynchus nerka (sockeye salmon), 203 nucleotides long. RefSeq lists it as uncharacterized. The transcript is spliced from 2 exons. NCBI's taxonomy places the organism in Eukaryota, Metazoa, Chordata, Actinopteri, Salmoniformes, Salmonidae. The record is from RefSeq and is a predicted model, not a curated record.
GUGCAGGUGUAGUGAGGUGUCACCAACGUUGCGUAGCAGGUCAAUAAGCGGAGGUAGCAGGCCGCAGGUGAGCAGUUGUUGUAUCUGUUGAGCGGGACCAGCAGCGAUGUUAGAUACGGCCCAGGUUGCCUCCUUCUGAACGCUAGGUUUGCUGUGUCUCAUUAAACUAGGCAGGACAGACAGCACCCCGGCGUCGAUGGCCA